AGAGUUUGAUCCUGGCUCAGGACGAACGCUGGCGGCGUGCCUAACACAUGCAAGUCGAGCGGAGGUAGCAAUACCUCAGUGGCGAACGGGUGCGUAACACGUGAGGAAUCUGUCCAUCGGCGGGGGAUAGCCGGCCCAACGGCCGGGUAAUACCGCGUACGUCGGCGAGAGCGCAUGCUCAUGCCGGGAAAGCAGCAAUGCACCGAUGGAGGAUCUCGCGGCCUAUCAGCUUGUUGGUGAGGUAACGGCUCACCAAGGCGACGACGGGUAGCUGGUCUGAGAGGAUGAUCAGCCACAUUGGGACUGAGACACGGCCCAGACUCCUACGGGAGGCAGCAGUGGGGAAUAUUGCGCAAUGGGGGAAACCCUGACGCAGCGACGCCGCGUGUGGGAUGACGGCCUUCGGGUUGUAAACCACUGUCGCGAGGGACGAAGAUCUGACGGUACCUCGAAAGGAAGCACCGGCUAACUCUGUGCCAGCAGCCGCGGUAAUACAGAGGGUGCGAGCGUUGUCCGGAAUUACUGGGCGUAAAGGGCGCGUAGGCGGUUCAAUAAGUAGGAGGUGAAAUCUCACGGUCAACCGGGAGGCUGCCUUCUAGACUGUUGGACUUGAGCACGGUAGAGGCAGAUGGAAUUCCCGGUGUAGCGGUGGAAUGCGUAGAGAUCGGGAAGAACACCAGUUGGCGAAGGCGGUCUGCUGGGCCGUUGCUGACGCUGAGGCGCGACAGCCGUGGGGAGCCAAACCAGGAUUAGAUACCCUGGUAGUCCACGCCGUAAAACGAUGGGGCACCUAGGCGUCGG
This 801-nucleotide ribosomal RNA is filed under the name uncultured bacterium. RNAcentral's name for it is "bacterial SSU rRNA". It matches the Rfam family "Bacterial small subunit ribosomal RNA", at positions 8 to 826 of the family's 1533-position model. The record is from RNAcentral.